Molecule: long non-coding RNA, 4340 nt
Filed under: Cavia porcellus (domestic guinea pig)
Lineage: Eukaryota; Metazoa; Chordata; Mammalia; Rodentia; Caviidae
Description: lncRNA (ENSCPOG00000032371.1)
Source: RNAcentral
CUUCAUCUCACAUUUUGAUAUUUUGUUUUUGCUUUCAUUCAGUUCAGAAUAUUUUCUAAAUUCCCUUAUGUCUUUUUUUAUAGUUUACAGAAAUGUUUUAUUAGUUCAUGUUUGCAGCACACAAUGGUCACGCGCAUCAUGGGAAACUGGUGCUGUAGGUACAUAACUAUCUUAAUUCUUUUUUCAUUCCCUUCUCUUUACUUAUAUUUUUAUAAUAUAAAGAGAAAGCCUUGCUUUUUGGUUUUAUGAAACAAGGUCUCACUACGUAGCCAGGCUGGCAUUGAACUCACGACGAUCUUCCUGCCUCAGCCUCCUGAGUGCUGGGAUUACAGGUGUGCGCCAACACGCCCAGCUGUGUAUUUGCUUUUGACCCAUGGAUUACUUAGAAAUGUGUUUAAUUUCUAACCUAAUGCAUGCGUCCCAAACCUCAGGAUACGGGCCUGGUUCUCCGCGCUGCACAGCGGCCCCGCUGAGGGCUGGGGGGUGGCGGGAACCUCCCUCGCGUACCGGGACUGUCAUGGAGAUACCCCGAUCCCGGUCCCGGCCUGCUCAGCCUGACUGACGCUGGAGCAUCGCAACAACCCGAACCGUCCUCGCGCAGCGCCACGGAGGCGCCCCGCUCCCGCUCAGCUCUCGCUCCCAGAGCCCAGCGCCUUGCGAGCCCCGGCCGGGUGUGUUCCUAGGCGGCUUCCGUAGCGGACAAUUUCCAGUCCCGCUGUGCAUGGCGCAGCCGCUUAGGCACCCGGUCUCGGGACGGCCCUGUCCCAGGUGCUCUGCGGCCCAGGCGGCGGGUUUGGGACCUCCGUCAGCUUGCGUCAGCCUCCCGUUCUCCUCGUCCUCCCCGUUCUCCCCGUUCUCCAAGUCCUUGGGGUCCGUGCGCUCCCUCGUUUGCCUUCCCGCGGGCCAGGCGGAAGACGGAACGAAGCUGCGCGGCCCGGGUUCCGGUCGGAAGCUGUCAGCGCGGCCUUACUCGCGAGGGAAGAACAAUGGCCAGUGCAGCUGUCCUGACCACAGGUUGGUGACCUCAGCAGUUUUCUCCAGGCCCUGCGUCUCAUUUUGCACUUUCAACAAACAUUUGUUGAACACCUCCUCCAUGUGAGGCUGGGGGGGGGGGGUGGGCGCGGGGGUUCCGGCCUGAGAAACAAACAAGCCCCUGAGGCCCUGCAGCCCUGACAGGAAGCAGGGUACCCGGAUGGAGACAUAGCCGAUGGCUUGGACACAGGACAAAUCAUUGGAAAGAACUUUCUUUCCUUUUUGUUUAUUUAUUUAUUGUCUUUUUGAGACCGAGUUUCAAUAUGCAGUUCAAAUUGGCCCUCAACUCACUUUGUAGCCCAGGCUGGCCUCGAACGCACAGUGAGCCUCCAGUGCUUCAGCCUCCCCAGUGCUGGCAUUACAGGUGUGUGCCACCACGCCCGGCUGGAAAGAACUUUCUGAGCAGUGUGUGGCCACUCGCUUGCCUGCAGUUAUCAAGGCUGAUUCUGGCUGUUUCUUUGGACUUGUUUCUGCUGUGUCUAAAUCACAUUCUCCUGCUUCUCGAAGUAUCUAGUAAUUCUGGUUAGAUGCUAGAUAUUAUAUAUUCUGCUGCCUAGUGUCUACACUUUUGUAGGUCCCUUGAAAGAAUGCUGACUUUGUAUCACCUAACAAUUAAAUGGCUUGCAGAUUUUCUUGGUCCUUUUAAAAAUGAUUUUUUAAAAAAAACUGAAUUCUAAGCUAUGCAGGGAUGGCUUGAGAGUCGCCUUUACUCUAGGGCUAGAGCAGCCCAGUGACAUAGGUGUGUGGCCCUCCUGGAAUCUUUGUUGAGAACCUCAGGGGUUCAUAGCUGGGGAUGCUCCUCAGGCUGGAUGGAGCUCAGCGUCUCCAAGCCCUGCAUCAGCUCUGGGAUGACCCAGGGCCCCGGGCUGCGUAUGCAGCUUUUAGCAGCAGCUCCCAGGAGGCCCUUUUCGGGUUCGGGAGGCCUCAGCUGUGUGGAUUUCUUCUCCGAAGGGUGUGCAGCUGAACAGUGACUCUGCACCUCAGCUCCUUGCAGGGCAGGAGCUGCGUGGUUCUGCACCAGCCCCACAGCAGCAUCGGGGUGCAGGCCAGACGCCCCCAACCAUGCUCCCUGCACUCUGCCAGCCCCUCACUGACUACGCCAGGGGCUACAUGGGGGUGUUGUGGGUAGUGUGUCUAAUUCUCUAGUUGCGUAGGAUAAGAAAGCAAGUCUGGGGGCCAGUUACUCUUGUGUGGGUGGAAGCAGAACUUUUUUUUUUCUGUAUUUAAUUUUAUUUUUUAAUUUAUAUGUUACUUCACCAGUACUGGGAAUGGAACUCAGGACCUUCCCAGUACCGGUGAAGUAACAUAAUAAUAAAAUUAUGUUGGGCUUGCCGGGCAGGCACUUAUGCUACUGACCUAGAUCCCCAACCCGGAAGCAGAACUUUAAAAUACUAAUGAAUAUAUUAAAAAUCUGCAUCUUCUGCAACUUGAGACCAUACUCGUAAGUGAAAUAAGACACCAGUAAACACCAUGUUGUCUCACUAAUGUGAGAAGCUGAAAGAACAUGUAGUCUACAUAAAAACUAGUUAAGAUACUUCUACUUCCGAUUUCUCUGAAUGCACUGCAGAGAAAGUUUUGUGCAGAUGCUGUUCAGACGAUUGAAUGCAGAUGUCUUGUGCUCUGGGUGAAUGAUUUGGGUGUGACAAUGCGUGAUUUAUGUACCAUCAUUGCCCCCUGAUUGAUGUGUUUUCAAAUUUUGUUUUCCUUUUUUCGUUUCCUUUUUUCUCAUUGAAAUAAAAUGGAUUUGAAAAAAAUCUGCAUCUUUCAUUAUCUGUAAUUACAGACUCUGUGUGGAUACAAAUGUUAAUCUGUUAACAAAAGUGUGGGUGUGUUUAGGCUUAGAAAGUGUAAUUUGUAAUAUGUAUCUGUUACACUUUUGCAAAAGCACUUUUGCUUCUGAGAUGGAAGCAAUCUCAGAAGAUACCUAAGAGGAGAUGGAUAGCUGGGUUGAAUGGAAUUUCUCGUUUCUGAGGAAUCUCCAUAUGGAUUUCCAUACUGUACUAGUUUAUAUUCCAGCCAACAGUGUAGAAGUGUCUUUCUCCUCAAAGCCUCACCAGAAUUGUUAUGAUUUGAUUUCUUGGUGAGGGCCAUUCCUUCUGGUGUAAGAUGUAAUACAGGUGUUGUUUUUAUUUGCAUUUCUCUAAUGUCCAGUGACGCUGAACAUUUCUUCACAUAUUUAUUAGCCAUUUGUGCAUCUUCUUCAUUAAGCAUCUGUUCAUUUCACUCGCUGAGUUUUUUGAAUGGGUCUUAUAGUGGCUUGAGAACUGCUGGUCACUUGUAGCACCAGCUGACCUGCAUCAGUGUGGAGCUGAGCGUGGAGCACCCACCCGAGUCUGUUGCCAGGUAAAAAGGAGACCUGGAGAGGAAGAGAUAGUGUUGUUGAGUCAUCUGGGGGUGUGGGUUCUCCUGGAGGAGCCUGCUGAGCUGCUUUCCUGGUAUGAACCUGGCUGUUAUCAUCAUCAGGGGAGGUGGGGACCUUGCUGUCACUGAGAGUGGCUGCGGUUCACUUUGGGGAAGCUCUGGUCUCUACUUUGAGCAUCGCUUCAUGGCUCUGGAGGGGAAGAUGUGUGCUGUUCAGUCUCCUGGAGAAGCUCGUCACGCUGGCUUUCUGAUAUGAACUCAGCUCUUCUCACUUUAGGAGGAGCUCUGGACCUCACUGUUGCUGAGGAUGGUCGUGAUACUUCAGGGGAGCCCUGGACCUUACUCUGAGCAUUACUUCUGGACUCCAGUGCAGAGCCCUCAGCCUGUGGGCACAGACUUUUUAGCCUCCUGCCCCUGACCUUGGGGCCCUUCCGGCGCAGAUCCAUGUGACAGACUUCCACAAGUCACCGUUGUGAGCUCUAGGCCUCCAGAUGGACUGAGCAGGGAGCAUUGUCAUGGGCUCUUGGUUUUCAGCAGGGCUCAUGCAGGACAUCACUGUGGGAUCCAGGCCCUGGGCUGGGUUUUCUAGGUCUUUAGUGUGUGGACAGAUUUCCUGCACUGUCUUUGUAUUUGACUCCUUGGGUGACCAUUAUAAGUAGUAUUAGUUAUGUGUUCUGCAUUGUUUUUUUCUCCUUGCAAACCCUGACUGCAACAGGUCUUUUGAGAUUAUCUUAUUUUGAAGGCUCUAGUUUUUUGACUUUGUUAUAUAUUCUAGAUGCUAUUCUUCUGUCUGAGCAAUAGCUGGUGAUAUUUUUUCCCCCAUUCUGUGGAUUGUUUUUUCAUUCUGUUGGUGGCUUCUUUGGCUGUGCAGAAGCUGUUUAAUUUGAUAUGAUCCUAACUGUUAUUUUUAAAAGAUAAUAAAAAUGAUACAAAAUUUCAAAACAAGA